RNAcentral lists this long non-coding RNA (338 nucleotides) under Mytilus galloprovincialis (Mediterranean mussel). The record is from RNAcentral. Lineage: Eukaryota; Metazoa; Mollusca; Bivalvia; Mytilida; Mytilidae.
GGGAAUGUGUCAAAGAGACAACAACCAGACCAUAGAGCAGACAACAGCAGAAGGUCACCAACAGGUCUUCAAUGUAGCGAGAAAUUUCCGCACCCGGAGGCGUCCUUCAACUGGCCCCUAAACAAAUAUAUACUAGUUCAGUGAUAAUGAACGCCAUACUAAUUUCCAAAUUGUACACAAGAAACUAAAAUUAAAAUAAUACAAGACUAACAAAGGCCAGAGGCUCCUGACUUGGGACAGGCGCAAAAAUGCGACGGGGUUAAACAUGUUUGUGAGAUCUCAACCCUCCCCCUAUACCUCUAGCCAAUGUAGAAAAGUAAACGCAUAACAAUACGCAC